GCGGAGCCAGGGAGGGCGGCAGGAAGGUCAGGAGCAGGAAGUGAUUGCCUGGGUGAGGACCAACUCCGAGACACAGAGCUGAAAGUGCCCUCCAGUGCCUGGGAGGAAAUGAGGAAAUGUCCAGUCUCACACUCACUGCCAGUGUGAGAGUGAGAUCAGGAGAAAGAUUGGACUGAAGAUGUCUCUUACCGGUGAAGGUUAGGACGGCAGACACAACGCAGAGAAAGAAAUGAACUGAAACAUCUAUGCUUUGUUCUUUCCCCUGCUAAAUUCUCCAAACAGAAAUGUUGAAGAAAAUCCAGGCAUGGUGGUGCACACCUGUCAUUCCAGCACUCUGGGAAGGCUGAAGAGGGAGGAUCACAACUUUGAGCCUAGCCUGAGUAACUUAUCAACUUUGUGAGACUCUAUCUCCAGACAAAAAGAAUCAAACAAAGAGCUGAGGAUGUAGCUCAGAGCAAAGGCAUUGAGUUCAAUCUCCAGUACCGGGAAAAAAAAAAAAAAAAGAAAGAAAGAAAAAAGAAAAAUUAAAGGAAAAGUAAGGCAUUUGUUAAAAGAAAAAAAGAAAAAUUAAAGGAAAAGUAAGGCACUGUAUUUAUUAAAUUUACCUAACUCUGCCUCUUUUUUCAUACAUCAUCUCACUGAAGUG
This is a long non-coding RNA of Heterocephalus glaber (naked mole-rat), 646 nucleotides long. The record is from Ensembl. Lineage: Eukaryota; Metazoa; Chordata; Mammalia; Rodentia; Bathyergidae.